UCCCGGUUAGCUCAAUUGGUCAGAGCGUCGGACUUUUAAUCCGAAGGUUGCGAGUUCGACCCUCGCAUCGGGAG
RNAcentral lists this transfer RNA (74 nucleotides) under Colletotrichum spaethianum. RNAcentral's name for it is "tRNA-Lys". It matches the Rfam family "tRNA". Rfam says of the family: Transfer RNA (tRNA) molecules are approximately 80 nucleotides in length. Their secondary structure includes four short double-helical elements and three loops (D, anti-codon, and T loops). Lineage: Eukaryota; Fungi; Ascomycota; Sordariomycetes; Glomerellales; Glomerellaceae. The record is from RNAcentral.